UUUUGUAUAAUGGGUCAGCGACUUAUAUUCUGUAGCAAGGUUAACCGAAUAGGGGAGCCGGAGGGAAACCGAGUCUUAAUUGGGCGUUAAGUUGCAGGGUAUAGACCCGAAACCCGGUGAUCUAGCCAUGGGCAGGUUGAAGGUUGGGUAACACUAACUGGAGGACCGAACCGACUAAUGUUGAAAAAUUAGCGGAUGACCUGUGGCUGGGGGUGAAAGGCCAAUCAAACCGGGAGAUAGCUGGUUCUCCCCGAAAGCUAUUUAGGUAGCGCCUCGUGAAUUCAUCUCCGGGGGUAGAGCACUGUUUCGGCUAGGGGGCCAUCCCGGCUUACCAACCCGAUGCAAACUGCGAAUACCGGAGAAUGUUAUCACGGGAGACACACGGCGGGUGCUAACGUCCGUCGUGAAGAGGGAAACAACCCAGACCGCCAGCUAAGGUCCCAAAGUCAUGGUUAAGUGGGAAACGAUGUGGGAAGGCCCAGACAGCCAGGAUGUUGGCUUAGAAGCAGCCAUCAUUUAAAGAAAGCGUAAUAGCUCACUGGUCGAGUCGGCCUGCGCGGAAGAUGUAACGGGGCUAAACCAUGCACCGAAGCUGCGGCAGCGACGCUUAUGCGUUGUUGGGUAGGGGAGCGUUCUGUAAGCCUGUGAAGGUGGCCUGUGAGGGUUGCUGGAGGUAUCAGAAGUGCGAAUGCUGACAUAAGUAACGAUAAAGCGGGUGAAAAGCCCGCUCGCCGGAAGACCAA
Molecule: ribosomal RNA, 743 nt
Filed under: Salmonella enterica
Lineage: Bacteria; Pseudomonadati; Pseudomonadota; Gammaproteobacteria; Enterobacterales; Enterobacteriaceae
Description: partial 23S ribosomal RNA
Rfam family: Bacterial large subunit ribosomal RNA
Source: RNAcentral